AACACUGGGACUGAGAACUGCCCAGACUCCUACGGGAGGCUGCAGUCGAGAAUCAUUCGCAAUGGGCGAAAGCCUGACGAUGCGACGCCGUGUGAGCGAUGAAGGCCUUAGGGUCGUAAAGCUCUUUCGCUUUGGAACAAGAGAAGCUGACGAAUAAUCAGUUAAUUUGAGGGUACCAGGUAAAGAAGCACCGGCUAACUC
This 201-nucleotide ribosomal RNA is filed under the name uncultured Chlamydiales bacterium. Its description in RNAcentral is "partial 16S ribosomal RNA". It matches the Rfam family "Bacterial small subunit ribosomal RNA", at positions 309 to 503 of the family's 1533-position model. The record is from RNAcentral. Lineage: Bacteria; Pseudomonadati; Chlamydiota; Chlamydiia; Chlamydiales.